UGACGCAGCCAUGCCGCGUGGGUGAUGAAGGUCUUAGGAUUGUAAAAUCCUUUCACCGGGGACGAUAAUGACGGUACCCGGAGAAGAAGCCCCGGCUAACUUCGUGCCAGCAGCCGCGGUAAUA
RNAcentral lists this ribosomal RNA (124 nucleotides) under uncultured bacterium. Its description in RNAcentral is "partial 16S ribosomal RNA". It matches the Rfam family "Bacterial small subunit ribosomal RNA", at positions 384 to 525 of the family's 1533-position model. The record is from RNAcentral.